AUGAACGCUGGCGGCGUGCCUAAUACAUGCAAGUCGAGCGAACAGAUGAGGAGCUUGCUCCUCUGACGUUAGCGGCGGACGGGUGAGUAACACGUGGAUAACCUACCUAUAAGCCUGGGAUAACUUCGGGAAACCGGAGCUAAUACCGGAUAAUAUAUUGAACCGCAUGGUUCAAUAGUGAAAGACGGUUUUGCUGUCACUUAUAGAUCGAUCCGCGCCGCAUUAGCUAGUUGGUAAGGUAACGGCUUACCAAGGCAACGAUGCGUAGCCGACCUGAGAGGGUGAUCGGCCACACUGGAACUGAGACACGGUCCAGACUCCUACGGGAGGCAGCAGUAGGGAAUCUUCCGCAAAGGGCGAAAGCCUGACGGAGCAACGCCGCGUGAGUGAUGAAGGUCUUCGGAUCGUAAAACUCUGUUAUUAGGGAAGAACAAAUGUGUAAGUAACUAUGCACGUCUUGACGGUACCUAAUCAGAAAGCCACGGCUAACUACGUG
RNAcentral lists this ribosomal RNA (496 nucleotides) under uncultured bacterium. Its description in RNAcentral is "partial 16S ribosomal RNA". It matches the Rfam family "Bacterial small subunit ribosomal RNA", at positions 29 to 507 of the family's 1533-position model. The record is from RNAcentral.